CCUACGGGAGGCAGCAGUGAGGAAUAUUGGUCAAUGGACGAGAGUCUGAACCAGCCAAGUAGCGUGAAGGAUGACUGCCCUAUGGGUUGUAAACUUCUUUUAUAUGGGAAUAAAACGUUCCACGUGUGGGAUUUUGUAUGUACCAUAUGAAUAAGGAUCGGCUAACUCCGUGCCAGCAGCCGCGGUAAUACGGAGGAUCCGAGCAUUAUCCGGAUUUAUUGGGUGUAAAGGGAGCGUAGGUGGAUUGUUAAGUCAGUUGUGAAAGUUUGCGGCUCAACCGUAAAAUUGCAGUUGAAACUGGCAGUCUUGAGUACAGUAGAGGUGGGCGGAAUUCGUGGUGUAGCGGUGAAAUGCUUAGAUAUCACGAAGAACUCCGAUUGCGAAGGCAGUUCACUGGACUGCAACUGACACUGAGGCUCGAAAGUGUGGGUAUCAAACAGGAUUAGAUACCCCUGUAGUC
This 460-nucleotide ribosomal RNA is filed under the name uncultured bacterium. RNAcentral's name for it is "partial 16S ribosomal RNA". It matches the Rfam family "Bacterial small subunit ribosomal RNA", at positions 338 to 795 of the family's 1533-position model. The record is from RNAcentral.